This 446-nucleotide ribosomal RNA is filed under the name uncultured bacterium. RNAcentral describes it as "partial 16S ribosomal RNA". It matches the Rfam family "Bacterial small subunit ribosomal RNA", at positions 338 to 795 of the family's 1533-position model. The record is from RNAcentral.
CCUACGGGGGGCUGCAGUCGAGAAUCAUUCACAAUGGGGGAAACCCUGAUGGUGCGACGCCGCGUGGGGGAAUGAAGGUCUUCGGAUUGUAAACCCCUGUCAUGUGGGAGCAAAUUAAAAAGAUAGUACCACAAGAGGAAGAGACGGAUAACUCUGUGCCAGCAGCCGCGGGAAUACAGAGGUCUCAAGCGUUGUUCGGAAUCACUGGGCGUAAAGGGGGCGUAGGCUGUUUCGUAAGGCGUGUGUGAAAGGCGCGGGCUCAACCCGCGGACGGCACAUGAGACUGCGAGACUAGAGUGAUGGAGGGGGAACCGGAAUUCUCGGUGUAGCAGUGAAAUGCGUAGAUAUCGGGAGGAACACUCGUGGCGAAGGCGGGUUCCUGGACAUUAACUGACGCUGAGGCACGAAGGCCAGGGGAGCGAACGGGAGUAGAUACCCGUGUAGUC